AUUGAACGCUGGCGGCAUGCCUAACACAUGCAAGUCGAACGGCAGCACGGCAGUAGCAAUACUGUGGGUGGCGAGUGGCGGACGGGUGAGGAAUACGUCGGAAUCUGCCCAGUCGUGGGGGAUAACUAGCCGAAAGGUUAGCUAAUACCGCAUACGACCGAGAGGUGAAAGCGGGGGACCGCAAGGCCUCGCGCGAUUGGAUGAGCCGACGUCGGAUUAGCUAGUUGGUGGGGUAAAGGCCCACCAAGGCGACGAUCCGUAGCUGGUCUGAGAGGAUGAUCAGCCACACUGGGACUGAGACACGGCCCAGACUCCUACGGGAGGCAGCAGUGGGGAAUAUUGGACAAUGGGCGCAAGCCUGAUCCAGCAAUGCCGCGUGUGUGAAGAAGGCCUGCGGGUUGUAAAGCACUUUUGUUCGGGAAGAAAUCAUGUCGGUUAAUACCCGAUGUGGAUGACGGUACCGAAAGAAUAAGCACCGGCUAACUUCGUG
This 490-nucleotide ribosomal RNA is filed under the name uncultured bacterium. RNAcentral describes it as "bacterial SSU rRNA". It matches the Rfam family "Bacterial small subunit ribosomal RNA", at positions 29 to 507 of the family's 1533-position model. The record is from RNAcentral.